Dicentrarchus labrax (European seabass) is the source of this 613-nucleotide long non-coding RNA. RefSeq lists it as uncharacterized. The transcript has 3 exons. The record is from RefSeq and is a predicted model, not a curated record. Lineage: Eukaryota; Metazoa; Chordata; Actinopteri; Moronidae.
GAGCUACAGAAUGACAAAAAAGCUUGGGGCAUCUUAUCAGGAAUAUAACAUGUUAACAAUGACAUCACAAAUAACCCCCACCCCCCAAAAAAUCGUCCAUCCAACGUCAUAUCUAAUAAUAAUGUUACUCAACCAGUUUAUUUCCUCACUACAUAACUUAUUAACAGAAUAAAAGAAGGAUGAAUAAAAGGGUGGCCACACCUAAUUCACAUUACUCACAAAUAUUGUUUACGUCUUUGUUCUGAGCCUGAUGUCAUUCAACGUGCUUUGUGUGAAUAUAUAAGCUGCUGUCUGUUCAGUGGAGGACAUCAACUAGCAAACAGAAAAAGGAUACUGAACAGGUGGAAUUAGAGAGCAUCACUUCAGCAACUUCAAUCACUGCAGUGAAGGCAAGUCAACAUCGGAUAAAAUCUCCAAGCACCUUCCAACAAUGAUGAUGAAGAUCUUUAUCGUCCUUCUCCUGUUUGUUGCUGCCCUAACGACAACCACAGGUGCUACAACGACAACCGCAGAUGCUCCAACAACCACCACAGCUGCUCCAACUGCAACAGCUGCCCCGAAGACAACCACAGCUGCCCCAACAACCACCACAGCUGCCCCAGGAGCAACAGCC